GACGAACGCUGGCGGCGUGCUUAACACAUGCAAGUCGAACGGAAAGGCCCGGCUUUUGUGGGGUGCUCGAGUGGCGAACGGGUGAGUAACACGUGAGUAUCCUGCCCUUGACUUUGUGAUAACUUCAGGAAACUGCGGCUAAUACCGGAUAGGAGCUCCUGCUGCACGUGGUGCGUUGGAAAGCUUCGGCGGUUGGGGCUGGACUCGCGGCUUAUCAGCUUGUUGGUGUGGUAGUUGCUUACUAAGGCUUUGACGGGUAGCCGGCCUGGGAGGGUGACCGGCCACAAUGGGACUGAGAUACGGCGCAGACUCCUACGGGAGGCAGCAGUGGGGAAUAUUGCAGAAUGGGCGGAAGCCUGAUGUAGAAGCGCCGCGUGCGGGAUGCCGGGCUUCGGGUUGUAAACCGCUUUCGCAUGUGACGAAGCGUGAGUGACGGUAAUGGGUAAAGAAGCACCGGCUAACUACGUG
Molecule: ribosomal RNA, 468 nt
Filed under: uncultured bacterium
Lineage: Bacteria
Description: partial 16S ribosomal RNA
Rfam family: Bacterial small subunit ribosomal RNA
Source: RNAcentral